GGGGAUGGCGCUACCUGCAGUCGAGCGGAUGACGGGAGCUUGCUCCUUGAUUCAGCGGCGGACGGGUGAGUAAUGCCUAGGAAUCUGCCUGGUAGUGGGGGACAACGUUUCGAAAGGAACGCUAAUACGCAUACGUCCUACGGGAGAAAGCAGGGGACCUUCGGGCCUUGCGCUAUCAGAUGAGCCUAGGUCGGAUUAGCUAGUUGGUGAGGUAAUGGCUCACCAAGGCGACGAUCCGUAACUGGUCUGAGAGGUGAUCAGUCACACUGGAACUGAGACACGGUCCAGACUCCUACGGGAGGCAGCAGUGGGGAAUAUUGGACAAUGGGCGAAAGCCUGAUCCAGCCAUGCCGCGUGUGUGAAGAAGGUCUUCGGAUUGAAAGCACUUUAAGUUGGGAGGAAGGGCAGUAAGUUAAUACCUUGCUGUUUUGACGUUACCGACAGAAUAAGCACCGGCUAACUCUGUGCCAGCAGCCGCGGUAAUACAGAGGGUGCAAGCGUUAAUCGGAUUACUGGGCGUAAAGCGCGCGUAGGUGGUUCGUUAAGUUGGAUGUGAAAGCCCCGGGCUCAACCUGGGAACUGCAUCCAAAACUGGCGGGCUAGAGUACGGUAGAGGGUGGUGGAAUUUCCUGUGUGCGGUGAAAUGCGUAGAUAUAGGAAGGAACACCAGUGGCGAAGGCGACCACCUGGACUGAUACUGACACUGAGGUGCGAAAGCGUGGGGAGCAAACAGGAUUAGAUACCCUGGUAGUCCACGCCGUAACGAUGUCAACUAGCCGUUGGAAUCCUUGAGAUUUUAGUGGCGCAGCUAACGCAUUAAGUUGACCGCCUGGGGAGUACGGCCGCAAGGUUAAAACUCAAAUGAAUUGACGGGGGCCCGCACAAGCGGGGAGCAUGUGGUUUAAUUCGAAGCAACGCGAAGAACCUUACCAGGCCUUGACAUGCAGAGAACUUUCCAGAGAUGGAUUGGUGCCUUCGGGAACUCUGACACAGGUGCUGCAUGGCUGUCGUCAGCUGUGUCGUGAGAUGUUGGGUUAAGUCCCGUAACGAGCGCAACCCUUGUCCUUAGUUACCAGCACGUUAUGGUGGGCACUCUAAGGAGACUGCCGGUGACAAACCGGAGGAAGGUGGGGAUGACGUCAAUCAUCAUGGCCCUUACGGCCUGGGCUACACACGUGCUACAAUGGUCGGUACAGAGGGUUGCCAAGCCGCGAGGUGGAGCUAAUCUCACAAAACCGAUCGUAGUCCGGAUCGCAGUCUGCAACUCGACGCGUGAAGUCGGAAUCGCUAGUAAUCGCGAAUCAGAAUGUCGCGGUGAAUACGUUCCCGGGCCUUGUACACACCGCCCGUCACACCAUGGGAGUGGGUUGCACCAGAAGUAGCUAGUCUAACCUUCGGAGGACGGUGUGAUUCAUGUACGCGGU
RNAcentral lists this ribosomal RNA (1424 nucleotides) under Pseudomonas putida. RNAcentral's name for it is "bacterial SSU rRNA". It matches the Rfam family "Bacterial small subunit ribosomal RNA". The record is from RNAcentral. Lineage: Bacteria; Pseudomonadati; Pseudomonadota; Gammaproteobacteria; Pseudomonadales; Pseudomonadaceae.